Hippocampus zosterae (dwarf seahorse) is the source of this 2764-nucleotide long non-coding RNA. RefSeq lists it as uncharacterized. NCBI's taxonomy places the organism in Eukaryota, Metazoa, Chordata, Actinopteri, Syngnathiformes, Syngnathidae. The transcript has 5 exons. The record is from RefSeq and is a predicted model, not a curated record.
CCGGGCCGUAAAGGCAUGCAUUACCUAAAAUAUUUUUUUUUUUAAAACAAGUUGGCAGUUACAUUUGAAAUGUACUCAAAGCCCACAAUUGAAAAAGAAACACGUGUUUGUGCACUGUCGCGUGUUUUUCUUGACGUGGUCAUGUUUUGAUUAUCUUUGCAGUACUACACAUGAAGACGUGGCUAAAAAUAGACUUUCAACAGAUGUCAAAGGCUGUCUCACUUCAAGAACUCUGUAACAGUUCACGGUGCAUAUUUUUGGACUGAGUUUAGAAGAAGCCCUUCAUAUCUUCAAAUCAUCAUUUCUUUAAAACAAAAAAAAAAACAAGCACGUCAUUAAAUAAUGUGCUUGACUCUCAAAUCAGGUGCUUGAGCCAAGAAAUACAUACACUGGAUUAAAAAAAAAAACUGCCCUCUUCCCCACAGAGAAGAAAUCGUAAAACAAGCGCGAGGCUGCACACCGUGACUUGUCUGCAAGCCAACUUCUGCCAGCAAGCGUUGAGCGUGAGUCGAGCCGGGCUGCUGGCUGCUCACCUCACAUCAUUUUCACAAGCAUCAAAGUCUUGAGCACGCACAAAUACGACAGGAACUGUGGGCUGCUCAGUACGCAGCAGCAAAAACCAGGGCUGGAGUUGGUUUGUGCAAUGCGAGACAGGAAAAUAUUCUGUUGACCAAAGCUGCCAAUCAGCGACUCAAUUAUCUAAUCUACUGAGACUGUGUUCUGGAAAGAGAGAGGAAAUGAAAUCCCGGCGAGGAGCCUUAGCUCAAGUUUUGUUCAAACUCCCAAAAGGGAGGCAAAAUGUACGCAAUAUGUGUCGACUCUAAAAAACUGUAUUGCUAAUCUCCCAUCUGUGCCGCUGGAAUUACCGUCGACGUUCAGUGUGUGGUCCUUAUACUUCGACACGAUCCGAGACGGCACAGCUGGGGCAUUUGCGGGCGCUUUCAUCAGAGUGGAACUCGUGCAAUUGUUUUUUUAAUUGCCACAACAGAAAGUCGACACCUCCUGCUGUGACACUCGCAGGAACUUCAUCUUGUGAGCUUGUCUCGCAAGAUUAACCUUUCAACUGCCUAACCCGAGGACGCCUCCAAGUAAAACUCAUGACGGACCAGCUGUGCAUUGGUUGUGUCAGUAAAAUGUGACUCAUUAAAAAAAAAAUCUUGCCGUUAGUCUGGCAGGUGAGAGAAAGAGACUUCUGUCGGGAUGAUGCUCUUUAGCAUUUGGCAGGACCAAAUCAGAAGCACUUCCAGGACCGAACAAAAUGGAUUCCUACAUUAUUCAGGAAACAGCAGGUGGAAUCUUGAACUCCAGACCACCAAGAGAUGAUGACCCAUCCAUUCAGUUUCUGCCGCUUAUGCUGUUCAGGCGCCGCAGGGACCGGACAAAACUAUCCCAGCGAUGAGGACCACCAGGAAGAGGACAAGAAAGCCGGACGAGCGCUGCUGCAUCCUUGUCAUGACUGCGGCACCCGCGGAUGUGGAAUCUUGCGACGAAAGGACCGGCGCUGGAGUCUCAAGGUUCGGCUGAGGCUCAAAAGUCACGUGGGGUUAGCAGGAACAGAUGCGUCUGCUUCAUGGCUUCCCUGCAUGGAUCCGCUACGCUGGUUGACUAAGUGUCAAUUGGCAGCUUGGAGAUGAGGUCCCGCCUCCGAGCUGUGGCAAAACAAUCGACUCACAAACACAAAAAAAGUUUGCUGUACUUGUUGAAGUUAAUGGAACAAUGCCAGAAUACUUUUAUGACGACAUUUGAGAACUAACUGUGGCAAUACAUAAAUACCGUAUGUCUAUUUAAAGCAGACCACGAAGGAUUUAUUGGCAACGUGCACUUUUAAUGUUUGUCGCAGUCGACCCAUUUGUCAAUGUUACGGCAAUACAUUGUUUCUUUUCAACUUUGAAGUUCUGGGUUCAUCAACAUUCCGUCUCAUCGUGACACACUGCACCAGUUAGCCCAUUUUCAGCCCCCUCGGGUAAGCAAUCAGUGCUAAGUGGCAACAUCAAGGGCGCAGUCUGCAUUCCAAAACAACAAAGAGUGAGGUGGCAAUAAACCGGGUGCGGGGGAAUUGCUUGCUUGCAGUAACUCAAGUCUGUUUGUGACCUGACUUAGGGACCGCCGGGUUAAAGGUUCUGAUCCUGCUUUCUGAAGAAGAAACACAGACAGCUGAGUGGGUGUGGAGAGAUGCUUGUCAGGUCAAGGGUUUGUUUUUUCUAUCCUCUCGGCGAUUACCUGAUUCCAGAAAGAGGCCCUCCGAGCUCGCCGCGUGGAAUUGGGUCUGGUUUGCAUCAACAUGCAGAAAAAAAAAAAAUCGACCUAUACGGAUGCUCCCUCUAAAGUGGCGGAUCCGGUCGCGAGUAAGCCUCAAACUCUCCGAUCGUUUUUGAUGAGCACGUGUUGCGGUUCACUCAUCACUGUCUGUCUCUGUUUUGUUUAGUCAACUUCUUUUCAUUCUCGGGGUUGGAUGGACCGGGAAUAAAAAAAAACAAAUUUAGAGUUCGUGUAAAAGUUUCGAUGUUUCGACCGAAUUUGGCAUCUGGUUCUUAUUGUCAGGGUUGUCAUACAUUUGCUUUGGAGAAAUGCGGUCGGCUAAUAAUUCCAAAAGUUGCUUUGACAACAUCGGCUCUCCUUGUUUCACACCCCUUCUCCCCUUCCCACUGUUUGUCAUGGCUGUAGUCAGCAAGGUCUCAGAGGAUGGGGGGGAGGGGGGUUUCGUUUUUCCAUCAUGCGUCUAAACAAACAUCUUCUUUUCCUUUCCCUUUGGCUUAACCCUCCU